GGGGCGUCGGUUUCGGUCCCGCCCGGCUGCGGCCGUUGUUUGCUGGGACAGUCCUUGGGCCGGUCUCCGUCCCUGUCCAGAGGCUCCGUACGUGAGGCGGACUCUCGGGAGCACCGAGCCGGGCGCGGAUAAGGAACGGGGGCAGAAAAGGAGGACCAGGGGCCGAGAAGCCGCUCUGGCUACGAAAUCUCAGACACCGUUGUAAAUGGGUCCUUCACAGCCGCCCGCCCCACGUUAAAACUGAAGAAGAGAUGCAAGGAGGCGGAAGCAGCUUGGGCCUCGGGACCGAGGGUCCUGUGAUCAGCAAGGGAGGACCAGAGAGGCUCAUGCCUCCGUUUUACAGGGCAUUUGCAGUUCACACCCAGUUAGUACGUGAGGACUGCAGUGAGUGUGGAAAUUUCAAGUCUUGCCCAGUCUUCUAUUCUUCCCCUCAGCUCAGCCUUCUCGACCCUCCACCUUCCCCAAAAAAGGAGCACAAAGGAGCAAGCAGGGGUCACGCCUUUCCUCACAGUCUGACCCGGGUGAGUAGGGGUCUUGUCUCAUCUCCCUCGACUUCUCCAUGGACUGUGGGAGUAGCUGAAGUGGCUGUGGGGACGGAGGGAGCAGACUGA
Molecule: long non-coding RNA, 611 nt
Filed under: Sus scrofa (pig)
Lineage: Eukaryota; Metazoa; Chordata; Mammalia; Artiodactyla; Suidae
Description: lncRNA (ENSSSCG00040038355.1)
Source: RNAcentral